CCCUUAGAUGUCCUGGGCCGCACGCGCGUUACACUGAUGCAUUCAACGAGCUUAUAACCUUGGCCGAGAGGCCCGGGCAAUCUUGUUAACGUGCAUCGUGAUAGGGAUAGAUUAUUGAAAUUAUUAAUCUUGAACGAGGAAUUCCUAGUAAACGCAGAUCAUCAAUCUGCAUUGAUUACGCCCCUGCCCUUUGUACACACCGCCCGUCGCACCUACCGAUUGGAUGGUCCGGUGAAGCCUCGGGAUUGUGGUUCUUGCCGCUUUAUUGUGGCGUGACCGCGAGAACUUGUCUAAACCUUAUCAUCUAGAGGAAGGUGAAGUCGUAACA
RNAcentral lists this ribosomal RNA (328 nucleotides) under uncultured eukaryote. Its description in RNAcentral is "partial 18S ribosomal RNA". It matches the Rfam family "Eukaryotic small subunit ribosomal RNA", at positions 1470 to 1796 of the family's 1831-position model. The record is from RNAcentral.